This 500-nucleotide ribosomal RNA is filed under the name uncultured bacterium. RNAcentral's name for it is "partial 16S ribosomal RNA". It matches the Rfam family "Bacterial small subunit ribosomal RNA", at positions 30 to 523 of the family's 1533-position model. The record is from RNAcentral.
AUUGAACGCUGGCGGAAUGCUUUACACAUGCAAGUCGAACGGCAGCACGGACUUCGGUCUGGUGGCGAGUGGCGAACGGGUGAGUAAUGUAUCGGAACGUGCCCAGUCGUGGGGGAUAACGUAGUGAAAAUUACGCUAAUACCGCAUACGAUCUAUGGAUGAAGGCGGGGGAUCGCAAGACCUCGCGCGAUUGGAGCGGCCGUUAUCAGAUUAGGUAGUUGGUGGGGUAAAGGCCCACCAAGCCAACGAUCUGUAGCUGGUCUGAGAGGACGACCAGCCACACUGGAACUGAGACACGGGCCAGACUCCUACGGUAGGCAGCAGUGGGGAAUUUUGGACAAUGGGCGAAAGCCUGAUCCAGCCAUUCCGCGUGCAGGAUGAAGGCCCUCGGGUUGUAAACUGCUUUUGUACAGAACGAAAAGGUUUCUACUAAUACUAGGAGCUCAUGACGGUACUGUAAGAAUAAGCACCGGCUAACUACGUGCCAGCCGCCGCAGUAA